This 79-nucleotide microRNA precursor is filed under the name Ovis aries (sheep). RNAcentral's name for it is "miRNA (ENSOARG00000021968.1)". The record is from RNAcentral. Lineage: Eukaryota; Metazoa; Chordata; Mammalia; Artiodactyla; Bovidae.
GGGUUGGCCAAAAAAAGUUCGUUUGGGGUUUCCUAUAAGGUAGUAUAGAAAUGCCCAAACAAACUUUUUGGCCAACCCA